GCUGCUGGGACCAUCUAUAACAGGAAAGAAAAACAUGGAUACUCAUUGGUCAAUGUUGGAGUGAAUUAAGCAUACUCUACUGUCGGUGCCCCUGAUUAUAUUGCUUCAGAGGUUUUGCUGAAGACGGGUUGUGGAAUGGAAUGUGAUUGGUGGUCACUUGGUCAUCAUAUUUGUAGUGUAAGAGUUCCUGUCAUACCUUUUAGUAAAUUUGUCUCUCUUGCUUCAAAUUUGCAGUGUAGUCUUAGGCUCCAUUUGGUCAUCACAUCAAUCUUUAUGAAUAUAUUUUUUUCUCAAACCAAAUGGAGCGUAAGCCAUUUUUCAACUCUGCCAUUGCAACUUCUUGCAUUGCCGGU
This is a long non-coding RNA of Magnolia sinica, 353 nucleotides long. RefSeq lists it as uncharacterized. The record is from RefSeq and is a predicted model, not a curated record. NCBI's taxonomy places the organism in Eukaryota, Viridiplantae, Streptophyta, Magnoliopsida, Magnoliales, Magnoliaceae. The transcript has 3 exons.